Molecule: transfer RNA, 75 nt
Filed under: Henriciella barbarensis
Lineage: Bacteria; Pseudomonadati; Pseudomonadota; Alphaproteobacteria; Hyphomonadales; Hyphomonadaceae
Also listed under: 5 other names
Description: tRNA-Val
Rfam family: tRNA
About the family: Transfer RNA (tRNA) molecules are approximately 80 nucleotides in length. Their secondary structure includes four short double-helical elements and three loops (D, anti-codon, and T loops). Further hydrogen bonds mediate the characteristic L-shaped molecular structure. tRNAs have two regions of fundamental functional importance: the anti-codon, which is responsible for specific mRNA codon recognition, and the 3' end, to which the tRNAs corresponding amino acid is attached (by aminoacyl-tRNA synthetases). tRNAs cope with the degeneracy of the genetic code in two manners: having more than one tRNA (with a specific anti-codon) for a particular amino acid; and 'wobble' base-pairing, i.e. permitting non-standard base-pairing at the 3rd anti-codon position.
Source: RNAcentral
GGGCGAUUAGCUCAGUGGUAGAGCACUGCCUUCACACGGCAGGGGUCACUGGUUCGAACCCAGUAUCGCCCACCA